CCUACGGGCGGCAGCAGUGGGGAAUAUUGGACAAUGGGGGGAACCCUGAUCCAGCCAUGCCGCGUGUGUGAAGAAGGCCCUCGGGUUGUAAAGCACUUUCAGUGAGGAAGAACGCCUGGUGGUUAAUACCCAUCAGGAAAGACAUCACUCACAGAAGAAGCACCGGCUAACUCCGUGCCAGCAGCCGCGGUAAUACGGAGGGUGCGAGCGUUAAUCGGAAUUACUGGGCGUAAAGCGCGCGUAGGUGGCUUGAUAAGCCGGUUGUGAAAGCCCCGGGCUCAACCUGGGAACGGCAUCCGGAACUGGCAAGCUAGAGUGCAGGAGAGGAAGGUAGAAUUCGCGGUGUAGCGGUGAAAUGCGUAGAGAUCGGGAGGAAUACCGGUUGCGAAGGCGGCCUUCUGGACUGACACUGACAUUGAGGUGCGAAAGCGUGGGUAGCAAACAGGAUUAGAUACCCGAGUAGUC
RNAcentral lists this ribosomal RNA (465 nucleotides) under Vreelandella stevensii. RNAcentral describes it as "partial 16S ribosomal RNA". It matches the Rfam family "Bacterial small subunit ribosomal RNA", at positions 338 to 795 of the family's 1533-position model. The record is from RNAcentral. Lineage: Bacteria; Pseudomonadati; Pseudomonadota; Gammaproteobacteria; Oceanospirillales; Halomonadaceae.